This 144-nucleotide unclassified non-coding RNA is filed under the name soil metagenome. RNAcentral's name for it is "partial internal transcribed spacer 1". The record is from RNAcentral.
UAAUAAGUGCUUUAUGGCACUUUUAAAUCCAUAUCCACCUUGUGUGCAAUGUCGUCGAUCUUCUUCAUGGAGAUCGACCAAACAUCAACCUUUAUCUUUAAAACUCUUUGUCUGAAAAAUAUUAUGAAUAAACAAUUCAAAAUA